Non-coding RNA from Pelobates cultripes (western spadefoot toad), 917 nucleotides. NCBI's taxonomy places the organism in Eukaryota, Metazoa, Chordata, Amphibia, Anura, Pelobatidae. The record is from the annotation of a GenBank genome assembly.
CUCAGACCUAUAUCUGAGACUGACUUUUUAUAUAGCGCCAAACACUUAAUGGAACACUAUAGUCACCAGAAAAAAAACAGCUUAUUGUAUUUGUUCUGGUGAGUAGAAUGAUUCCCUUGAGGCUUUUUGCAAUAAACACUGUCUUUUGAGAGAAAUUGCAGUGUAGGGGCAGCUCCACUGGCAACUAUUCAGAUGGCUGCUAGAGGUGCUUCCUGGGGCAGUGCUGCAAAGUGUGACUGCCAUUCAGUGUCUUCACACUCCGCAUGCAGACACUGAACUUUACUCAUAGUGAUGCAUUGAUUGAAUUGGCUAGGACUGUGUUUAACUUGUGCUGGCUCUGCAACUGACCUGCCUCCUUGACAGUCUCAGCCAAUUCUAUGGGGAAGCAUUGUGAUUGGCUCAGACCACCACUUCUGAUGAUGUCAGAAGGAAGCAGGCAGUUCAGAGGCAGAAGUAGCAGCUGCAGACUUGAAUACAAGUAAAAUUUUUCAAUAUUUAUGUAGGCAAGGAGUAAUCAUUCCUCAAACAUGUUCCAUUCUAGAAAUAUGCUGUAUUGAGAUAAAUAAUGAGUUCUGAGUUUUUAAUCAGACGAACUGGAUAACUGAAAUAGGUAUUUAACGAAGAUAUGAAAUGUCUGUAAAUCAAAAUGCAUUCGGCAUUGACUUCCUAUUUCAGUACCAAAUAGCUGAACUGGAAACUUACUUUUACUAAGUCUGAUAAAAAUAAAAACUACCAAUACCAUGCAAAGCACAGUUAACCUCAAUGCGCUAACUGUGACUUGAACCCAGGUCACAAGAAUGGGAAUCUUGCACGAUACCCCUACACUACUAGCGCAAGCUUCAUAUGGGUAGUCUAACUGUCAAGAUGCACUCUUUGAGCAUUGCUCUAACACGUUCUGUUGUAAAAAUAUACUACAC